CCUGCCGGACCUGACUGCUAUCGGAUUGAUACUAAGCCAUGCGAGUCUUUGUAGUAAUACAAGGCAGACGGCUCAGUAACACGUAGUCAACCUACCCUAUGGACGAGAAUAAUCUCGGGAAACUGAGCAUAAUUCUUGAUAGAUCAUAAUGCCUGGAAUGGUUUAUGGUUAAAAUGAUUCGUCGCCAUAGGAUGGGACUGCGGCCUAUCAGCUUGUUGGUGAGGUAAUGGCCCACCAAGGCGAUUACAGGUACGGGCUCUGAGAGGAGAAGCCCGGAGAUGGGUACUGAGACACGGACCCAGGCCCUAUGGGGCGCAGCAGGCGAGAAAACUUUGCAAUGUGCGAAAGCACGACAAGGUUAAUCCGAGUGAUUUCUGCUAAAGAAAUCUUUUGCCAGUCAUAAAACCACUGGUGAAUAAGGGGUGGGCAAGUUCUGGUGUCAGCCGCCGCGGUAAAACCAGCGCCUCAAGUGGUCAGGAUGAUUAUUGGGCCUAAAGCAUCCGUAGCCGGCUUUGUAAGUUUUCGGUUAAAUCCAUGUGCUCAACGCAUGGGCUGCCGAAAAUACUGCAUGGCUAGGGAGUGGGAGAGGUAGACGGUACUCAGUAGGAAGGGGUAAAAUCCUUUGAUCUAUUGAUGACCACCUGUGGCGAAGGCGGUCUACCAGAACACGUUCGACGGUGAGGGAUGAAAGCUGGGGGAGCAAACCGGAUUAGAUACCCGGGUAGUCCCAGCUGUAAACGAUGCAGACUCGAUGAUGCAUUGGCAUAAUAGCCAGUGCAGUGUCGCGGGGAAGCCGUUAAGUCUGCCGCCUGGGAAGUACGUACGCAAGUAUGAAACUU
Molecule: ribosomal RNA, 839 nt
Filed under: uncultured marine group I thaumarchaeote
Lineage: Archaea; Thermoproteati; Nitrososphaerota
Description: SSU rRNA
Rfam family: Archaeal small subunit ribosomal RNA
Source: RNAcentral